RNAcentral lists this ribosomal RNA (225 nucleotides) under uncultured Methylobacterium sp. Its description in RNAcentral is "partial 16S ribosomal RNA". It matches the Rfam family "Bacterial small subunit ribosomal RNA", at positions 568 to 792 of the family's 1533-position model. Lineage: Bacteria; Pseudomonadati; Pseudomonadota; Alphaproteobacteria; Hyphomicrobiales; Methylobacteriaceae. The record is from RNAcentral.
CGCGUAGGCGGCCAUUCAAGUCGGGGGUGAAAGCCUGUGGCUCAACCACAGAAUUGCCUUCGAUACUGUUUGGCUUGAGUUUGGUAGAGGUUGGUGGAACUGCGAGUGUAGAGGUGAAAUUCGUAGAUAUUCGCAAGAACACCAGUGGCGAAGGCGGCCAACUGGACCAACACUGACGCUGAGGCGCGAAAGCGUGGGGAGCAAACAGGAUUAGAUACCCCCGUA